AUGUAUGACUUCUCCUUGGAAAAGAAAACUGUUAGAUACUAAAAAAAUCCAAGAAGCCCAGCGAGAAGUAGAGGAUAAGCCUGAGGAAGCAGAAGCUAAAGUGAAUUCUAUGAGUGGCCCAGAGGGUGAUAGCAAAAUGAGCUUCUCCAAGACUCAAAGUACAGCAACAGUGUCACUUCCUAUUAACCCUAGCCUAGCUAGCUUACAGUACAAUAGUAUUCUCACUCCAACUUGGGUCAGCAGUAGUGCCAUGAAACAGUUCUCAGCCUACCCCACACAAAAGCAGAUUUUAGUCCUGCUGACGUUGAGUAUAAAGAGGACCCAUUUGAUAAUCUGGAGUUAAGAACUAUUGAUGACAAAGAAGAGCUGAGAAACAUUCUGGUAGGAACCACUGGGGCCAUUUUGGCCCAGUUAUUGGACAGUAAUGUCUCAGAGGAGACUCUAGGUCUGUGUCACAGGAUGAGGAGGUCUAAGCAUCCUUGGAGCAUGCAACCUUAGAUUUCAAGCCUCUUCAUAAACCCAAUUGCUUUAUAAUCUUACCACAGUUGGGCAACUGUGAAAAAAUGUUGUCUUCCAAAGUGUCCCUCCCCCCAUCCCUGCAGUAAGCAAUAUCAAAUCUCUUCCUUUGCCAGACUUGACUGUGAUGACAGCAAUCAGAAGACAGUCAAGCUGGCAAGCAGUUUCCAUAGCACAUCCUGCCUCUUCAGUGGCACAUCCUAGAAUUUCUUACAGCCUUUCACCCAAAGCUGGGCCAGUGAGCUCAGUGAGGACUAUAUUCUUUGACUUUCAGCUUUGAACUUGGACAGUGGCACAGAAGUGGCAACCUUGCCACACUCCCAGAUAUCUUUGCUGUCUGUGUGCACAGAAGAAUUAUCACCUCCAAAUACAGGUCCAAAAGUCACUCCUCUGAAUUUCUCAAUGUUCCAGGUGCCCAACAUGCUUAGCUGUCCCCAGGUCUAUUCUGAAUUGUAGACACUGUCCCCCAGUGAGUAGCAGUGUGUAGAGACAGUGGUCAACAUGGGCUACUAAUAUAAGUGUGUCUAGAGAACCAUGAAGAAGAAAAGAGACAAUAUUGAGUAGAUUCUUGACCUAUCUCUUUGCAAACGGACAGCUUUGUGAGAAGGGCUUCGACCCUCUUUUAGUGGAAGAGGGUGUGGAUAUGCACCAGAGUUCAGAAGAAGAGAUGAUAGAGUUUCUUCAGUUAAUUAGCAAAUUUAGGGGAAUGGGCUUUGAACUGAAAGACAUUAAGGAAGUUUUACUAUUAUACAACAAUGACCAGAACAGUGCUUUGGAAGACAUCAUGGCCUGGGCUGUAGCCAGCUGAGACCAGGCCCUGCCACAGGACCACUAUCCCCCAGAAGCCCUGAGAGCUCACCUGUGGGGAAGGAGAAAGGGCACACUUCUAGAUUUUUCUUUUGGUGGUUAGAGGUCAGGUGUAGAAACUGUGCUUGCCAGUCUGUGUGAGUCUAGACCCUGAGCUGGGGAGAAAUGGGGGAAGAUUUGGAGAUGUGAAUGAAUGGCCAAACCUGUCCUGACUCCUUCCAUAUUGAAUAUAUUUCUAUUUUGAGACAUGUCCUUCCCAUCUUGACCAUCCAGAAAGAAUACUUGGGUCUUUCGGGGCCUCUCUGUCCCUAGCCAAAAACUGGCCUAGCUGCCAAGAGUAGUCAGGAGUAAAAUGGAGGGCCAGAAUCCGUGCUGCUUUGGGGCAAGAUGCUUCCCACUCUACCUGCACAGGUAGACUGAACUCCAGUCCAAAUUGAAUGCAAGUGAAAGGUUCUUCCAGGGUUCCUCACCUCCCCCUAACAGUCUGUUAGUGUUACACUGGUUCUGCAGUGUCUCUGAGGUGCAAAAGGAUGCCUUUUUCCCCGUGGGGCCGAGUUUGCCUCUUCUGCUAGGCAAUUCCCAUGCUUCCAUUUCUAGUCUGUUUCUUUCUGCUUGGUUUGGAGUACAGUUCUCUGCUGCCCAAGACUUUAGAGCCCUGCUCUAAGAAACUUGUCAGUUUGAAUAAUCGUGGGCCCUUUACCAGCACAUGGAUCAGGUGAGAAAACAGGCCAUAACUUAGU
Non-coding RNA from Castor canadensis (American beaver), 2063 nucleotides. The record is from RefSeq and is a predicted model, not a curated record. Lineage: Eukaryota; Metazoa; Chordata; Mammalia; Rodentia; Castoridae.